GGGNGCUCUCCCNUAUGGUCGGACCUGCAGGCGGCCGCGAAUUCACUAGUGAUUAGAGUUUGAUCCUGGCUCAGGAUGAACGCUGGCGGCGUGCCUAACACAUGCAAGUCGAACGAAGCAAUUAAAAUGAAGUUUUCGGAUGGAUUUUUAAUUGACUGAGUGGCGGACGGGUGAGUAACGCGUGGAUAACCUGCCUCACACUGGGGGAUAACAGUUAGAAAUGACUGCUAAUACCGCAUAAGCGCACAGUACAGCAUGGUACAGUGCGAAAAACUCCGGUGGUGUGAGAUGGAUCCGCGUCUGAUUAGCCAGUUGGCGGGGUAACGGCCCACCAAAGCGACGAUCAGUAGCCGACCUGAGAGGGUGACCGGCCACAUUGGGACUGAGACACGGCCCAAACUCCUACGGGAGGCAGCAGUGGGGAAUAUUGCACAAUGGGCGAAAGCCUGAUGCAGCGACGCCGCGUGAGUGAAGAAGUAUUUCGGUAUGUAAAGCUCUAUCAGCAGGGAAGAAAAUGACGGUACCUGACUAAGAAGCCCCGGCUAACUACGUGCCAGCAGCCGCGGUAAUACGUAGGGGGCAAGCGUUAUCCGGAUUUACUGGGUGUAAAGGGAGCGUAGACGGCGAAGCAAGUCUGAAGUGAAAACCCAGGGCUCAACCCUGGGACUGCUUUGGAAACUGUUUUGCUAGAGUGUCGGAGAGGUAAGUGGAAUUCCUAGUGUAGCGGUGAAAUGCGUAGAUAUUAGGAGGAACACCAGUGGCGAANGCGGCUUACUGGACGAUAACUGACGUUGAGGCUCGAAAGCGUGGGGAGCAAACAGGAUUAGAUACCCUGGNAGUCCACGCCGUAAACGAUGAAUGCUAGGUGUUGGGGGGGCAAAGCCCNUCNGNGCCGUCGCAAACGCANNAAGCAUUCCACCUGGGGGAGUACGUUCGCAAGAAUGAAACUCAAAGGAAUUGA
Molecule: ribosomal RNA, 961 nt
Filed under: uncultured Lachnoclostridium sp.
Lineage: Bacteria; Bacillati; Bacillota; Clostridia; Lachnospirales; Lachnospiraceae
Description: bacterial SSU rRNA
Rfam family: Bacterial small subunit ribosomal RNA
Source: RNAcentral